This 497-nucleotide ribosomal RNA is filed under the name uncultured bacterium. RNAcentral describes it as "partial 16S ribosomal RNA". It matches the Rfam family "Bacterial small subunit ribosomal RNA", at positions 28 to 507 of the family's 1533-position model. The record is from RNAcentral.
GACGAACGCUGGCGGCGUGCCUAAUACAUGCAAGUUGAGCGCUGAAGGUUGGUACUUGUACCGACUGGAUGAGCAGCGCACGGGUGAGUAACGCGUGGGGAAUCUGCCUUUGAGCGGGGGACAACAUUUGGAAACGAAUGCUAAUACCGCAUAAAAACUUUAAACACAAGUUUUAAGUUUGAAAGAUGCAAUUGCAUCACUCAAAGAUGAUCCCGCGUUGUAUUAGCUAGUUGGUGAGGUAAAGGCUCACCAAGGCGAGGAUACAUAGCCGACCUGAGAGGGUGAUCGGCCACAUUGGGACUGAGACACGGCCCAAACUCCUACGGGAGGCAGCAGUAGGGAAUCUUCGGCCAUGGACGAAAGUCUGACCGAGCAACGCCGCGGGAGUGAAGAAGGUUGUCGGAUCGUAAAACUCUGUUGGUAGAGAAGAACGUUGGUGAGAGUGGAAAGCUCAUCAAGUGACGGUAACUACCCAGAAAGGGACGGCUAACUACGUG